Non-coding RNA from Labrus bergylta (ballan wrasse), 219 nucleotides. NCBI's taxonomy places the organism in Eukaryota, Metazoa, Chordata, Actinopteri, Labriformes, Labridae. The record is from RefSeq and is a predicted model, not a curated record.
UGCGCCGUGAGGCAGUGCGGGACAGAAAAUGGCAGACGUCUCUUUGGAUGAAGUAAUACGACGGCGCGGCAUCAACCUUAAGACACCAAUUAAAAGACCAAUGUUCGGACGGGGUGCAGGAGGAACUGGCAAGGGUUUUGACGCCCGGCAGAGGAUAGGGGUCAACGAUGUUAGGCAGCGGCUUGGAGGAGGAGCAGGUUUUCAAGUUAAAGACGCCAG